GAGCGGGUGUAGAUAGACAUGCCAAUCUCAUAUCUUCUGUCGUCCGGUCCAGC
This 53-nucleotide microRNA precursor is filed under the name Pristionchus pacificus. Its description in RNAcentral is "microRNA ppc-mir-8310 precursor". Lineage: Eukaryota; Metazoa; Nematoda; Chromadorea; Rhabditida; Neodiplogasteridae. The record is from miRBase by way of RNAcentral.